This 63-nucleotide microRNA precursor is filed under the name Python bivittatus (Burmese python). Its description in RNAcentral is "Pbv-Mir-130-P1b_pre stem-loop". The record is from RNAcentral. Lineage: Eukaryota; Metazoa; Chordata; Lepidosauria; Squamata; Pythonidae.
GCCCUUUUUAUGUUGUACUACUAGUGAACACACACAAAAAGCAGUGCAAUGUUAAAAGGGCAU